CUCGUCCUCCCGCCCGUCAACGAGCUCAUCACCGUCCCCACCCAGGUCAACUACGUGGGCAAAGGCGCUAACCUGUACAAAUCGGGGUACGAGCUCCACGGCUCUGCGUACGUCAUCAACAAGCUCCUCGGCACCACCUGGCUCUGGGACCGCGUGCGCGUGUCCGGGGGUGCCUACGGAGGGUUCUCCGACUUUGACAGCCACAGCGGCAUGUUCAGCUACCUGUCCUACCGCGAUCCCAACCUCCUGAAGACCAUCGCCAACUACGACGGAACGGUGGAGUUUUUGAAGGACAUCUCGCUCGACAAGGAUGAGCUGACCAAGGCGAUCGUCGGCACCAUGGGCGACCUGGACUCGUACCAGCUCCCCGAUGCAAAGGGCUACACCGCGCUCAUGCGCCAUCUGCUCAAGGUUAAGGACGAGGAGAGACAGCAACGCAGGGAGGAGGUGCUGGCGACGACGGAGAAGGAUUUCAAGAAGUUUGGCGAGGUGCUCGAGGC
Molecule: long non-coding RNA, 500 nt
Filed under: Micromonas commoda
Lineage: Eukaryota; Viridiplantae; Chlorophyta; Mamiellophyceae; Mamiellales; Mamiellaceae
Description: long non-coding RNA (MCOM_LNC000247)
Source: RNAcentral